UCGAGCAAGUUCAACCUGCGUCGUUGAACAGGAAUUUUGUUCCUCGCGAGCCUUGAUCCUCGAUCAGUUUUGACGGAAAUUUCACCCGACGGUGUCUGUCCCACCCGCGCUUAGUCUCAAUUAAUUAUAGCCAUAAAAUGAUUAAGCAAUAAUUAAUUAUUAAUUGCGAAAAGAAAAAAAUCAAUGUGUGAUUCUUCUGAUUAGAUCCGGAGCCUACGAGGAGCAGCGGCGACGGUGCCCGUUGGGAUCCGCUGAUGGCCUUGAUCCGCUGGACAAGUCCAAAUAAGAACACUGUGACAGGUCAAUCGUAGAGUGAUUUGAAGCCCAGCUAGUGCUGUUAUUUCGUUUUUGUCUCCACUUUCCGAAAGAGUCGUCUCGAUUACGACCAAUAUUUCUCAGGCUAUCAAUCAGGAGUGGGAACACCGCCACACCAGGAGAAAGUCAGGUAGAGGAAAAAGCAAAUCAGACGGCUAGGGCCGGGAGAGUCAACAACCGGAAUCAUCACAGCAGAUAUUUGAAAAGGCCCUGCUUGUACUCGUCCAAAAGGACGGCACGCGUGCUGCGAAUGCAGAAACUGGACGAUAUGCUGUUAUUUGUACUAGAACAUCAUAGCACGGCCAACGGAACCGAUUCCUUAGUUCAACUGGCCACCACUUUCGGUAGGCAUUUAGCGGAGUGUCUGAACGAUUUUCAGCGAUUUUCAAAAGUCAACCUGCGCGAAUGCGGCGAUUCGCAAGGGAAGCUAGCGACAAUGCACUGAUAAUGAAUAUUUUCUUGGAGGUACUCUCGUCAACAUGGCUAGCCAACACCCCUGGAAACAACAAUUGAAAAAAAAACUUGCAUCUUUACCAUGCCUGGCAAAAAAUAUUAAUUUUUCAUUUCUAUCCAUUUUAAUAAAA
Molecule: long non-coding RNA, 899 nt
Organism: Aedes albopictus (Asian tiger mosquito)
Lineage: Eukaryota; Metazoa; Arthropoda; Insecta; Diptera; Culicidae
Exons: 4
Source: RefSeq, a predicted model, not a curated record